GUGUGUGUGUGUGUGUGUGUGUGUGUGUGUGUGUGUGUAUGUAUGUAUAUGUGUGUGUGUGUCUUUGUCUUUCUACACACACACACACACACACACACACACACCC
Molecule: microRNA precursor, 106 nt
Filed under: Podarcis lilfordi (Lilford's wall lizard)
Lineage: Eukaryota; Metazoa; Chordata; Lepidosauria; Squamata; Lacertidae
Source: RNAcentral